GAGGUGGUUCAGUGGUAAAGCAUCUGUUUUGCAUGCAGAAGGUCCCUGGUUCAAUCCCCAGCAUCUCCA
This is a non-coding RNA of Podarcis lilfordi (Lilford's wall lizard), 69 nucleotides long. Lineage: Eukaryota; Metazoa; Chordata; Lepidosauria; Squamata; Lacertidae. The record is from the annotation of a GenBank genome assembly.